AAUUGAGAUGUGAGACACUCCUCUGGCUCAGAAAUGUGCAAGACCUAAACACAACUUGAGGUUAGUUCAAGUGCUUUAAAUCUGUAUGAGUAAACCACUCACAGGAAAAGAGAGGCAGGAAGUUAUAAACAGAGAAGACUGUGAUUUUAAGAGCUUUAACAAGAUGAUGAAACAACAGAGAAAAACAGAGGUCAUUUUUGUCUGGGUCUUAGCCAUCUGGCUCUCUUCAGUUGUCAACAGUGAAAGUAAAGUGGAGCUGAGAACCAGUACUGAGGUAAAGGCUCAGUGUGAUCAGAAUGUGUCCCUGCAGUGUGACAUCAUGUCAUCGAGCCCACUCAAGAUCAUUCUCUUUUCCUGGGUAAGGAAAACGAAACAGCUGUGUGUGGUCAAUGCCACUGGUGUAUUCUCCUUUCCUGGCGUCCGGUGUGACAACACAAACAACACCCUCACACUCAAUCUGACUCGGGUGAUGCCGUCCAGUCAGGGUAACUACACCUGCAAACUGCGCUCUAACCUAACGAUCACAGCUGACAACACCACUGUGACAAUGCAAGGUCUGUAUACUGUAUAGGAAUAAUGCUCCUAUAUAACUAAUGAUGAUGCUGUUGUAGGAUGGGAGCAAUUGCAACAAUGACGCAUGUAGGCAAGUCAGACCAAAUAUUACACAAAUAUGGCAAUUCAAUUGUUAGACGUACUCCAGCUAUGUGAAUGUUACUUGAGAACUACUCAGUCCGCCAGCACAAAGAGCUAGCUGGAUGAAGAGGGGCUGUUUGAUAUAAGGAGUACCCUGCCUACCCAGGCUGGGACUGAGCCUUACAACUGCUCCUUGUGGAUACCUAGUAGUGGAACCUACAGCUCUCACAAACAGCUGCACUACUCCAGGGGGAUCUCUUCAGGGACAAAGACUAGGAGCAGACUGCUGUUGGUCUUCAUCCUGGUUGGACUCAUACUCAUAAUCAUCAGGACUACUCAUGGGAAGGUCAGGAGGUUUUUUACUGAACAUGGGACUUCGAACUACAGUAGGGCAAAGGGUUUUCCUGGUCAGGGCACAUCUACACAGGAUGAAUCAGGGCCUUUCUCUAACUGAGUGAAGAGAAAGCAAACCUGGACUGCCAUGGCCAAAGUGGAUAUAUGUUUUCACUUUUUAUACUGGGAAGCAAAAUAUCAAAGCAAUUACAAUGAAUAGAAUAGAAUUUUAAACUGAAAAUCAUUGUACAUUGGGAUUUGAGAAUACUGUAAGAAGUAUUCAUCCGUUCUCAUCUUGUUCAUCGUUUGUCUUCAACAUUAUACACUUGCUUAAAUUGCAUUGCUUAUUACAGUAGUAGAGUACUGCUUCCUGGUGGUGAAAGUGUUUACUGAUGGAAAUAGUAUUGAUGUUAGCUGAGUCAUAAAGCUGUUCUAAAUUGUAUUGUUGAAUUGACUGAUCUUGCUUAUUAAGUCUGUCAUAUGUUGUUGCUGUGUUUUCCAGUCAACACUGAUUAGACUGAUUAUAUAAUAAUCAAUGCAAUGUCAAACAUGGCUAGAAGGACAUGUUACUGUGUGUUCUGGAUUCUAAAAUAUAAGUUUUAUUAUACCAUAGCAAAUAUAGUCAACCGUGUUGUUUUCUGUACUAGUUCUCAGUUUAAAAAUGAACCAGACCACCGAGGGUACUCAUGACAAUGACAGUGAAAGAAUGAGGACUCAUGGUCAUUCAAAUUGCAUUUCUAGUUCCUGCUCAGUGUACCACAAGGGGGCAGAGUCAUCCCACCAGAGAGGACUGUCAAACCAAUCAUACACAACUCUUCUCCCUCUGCAUACAAACACACAAUCAUGCUGUGUGAAUUCCAAUCCAACUCUUCUGUAUAAAUCAACACUUUGAUGUGACACAUUUCCUAUCAAUUUCCUCUACGCCAAUGUGGGGUCUCCUGCAAAGUGAAGGAGUGAAGGGUAAAAUGUCUGUCAUUAUAAAACACUCAAAUCAAUCCACAUGACUUCUGCGGUGUCAAACUCACAUCUCUAAUGCAUUAUCCAGGUGCGAGGAUAUGUAAAGUGUUUUAGAUGGACUGACCUUGUUGCACAUGUUGUGUGGGCUGCUGUGAGAGAUGUUAAAAGUACCUGUUGAGUACACAGUAUAACAACACAUGCUGCAUUUUCCGGAUAAAUAGGUACAUUUCCCCGACAAUUGUGAGGAUUCCUGCAAAGUGGGAUGUCAUUAUCAAACACUAUGAUGAGUCCUGUUGUCAUUAUCAAACACUAUGAUGAGUCCUGUUGUCAUUAUCAAACACUAUGAUGAGUCCUGUUGUCAUUAUCAAACACUAUGAUGAGUCCUGUUGUCAUUAUCAAACACUAUGAGUCCUGUUGUCAUUAUCAAA
Salmo salar (Atlantic salmon) is the source of this 2351-nucleotide long non-coding RNA. RefSeq lists it as uncharacterized. NCBI's taxonomy places the organism in Eukaryota, Metazoa, Chordata, Actinopteri, Salmoniformes, Salmonidae. The record is from RefSeq and is a predicted model, not a curated record.